CCUACGGGAGGCAGCAGUGGGGAAUUUUGGACAAUGGGCGAAAGCCUGAUCCAGCAAUGCCGCGUGAGUGAAGAAGGCCUUCGGGUUGUAAAGCUCUUUUGUCAGGGAAGAAACGGUGUGGGCUAAUAUCCUGCACUAAUGACGGUACCUGAAGAAUAAGCACCGGCUAACUACGUGCCAGCAGCCGCGGUAAUACGUAGGGUGCAAGCGUUAAUCGGAAUUACUGGGCGUAAAGCGUGCGCAGGCGGUUUUGUAAGUCUGUCGUGAAAUCCCCGGGCUCAACCUGGGAAUUGCGAUGGAGACUGCAAGGCUAGAAUCUGGCAGAGGGGGGUAGAAUUCCACGUGUAGCAGUGAAAUGCGUAGAGAUGUGGAGGAACACCGAUGGCGAAGGCAGCCCCCUGGGUCAAGAUUGACGCUCAUGCACGAAAGCGUGGGGAGCAAACAGGAUUAGAUACCCUGGUAGUCCACGCCCUAAACGAUGUCUACUAGUUGUCGGGUUUUAAUUAACUUGGUAACGCAGCUAACGCGUGAAGUAGACCGCCUGGGGAGUACGGUCGCAAGAUUAAAACUCAAAUGAAAUUGACGG
RNAcentral lists this ribosomal RNA (586 nucleotides) under uncultured bacterium. Its description in RNAcentral is "bacterial SSU rRNA". It matches the Rfam family "Bacterial small subunit ribosomal RNA", at positions 338 to 916 of the family's 1533-position model. The record is from RNAcentral.